This 1815-nucleotide ribosomal RNA is filed under the name Triticum aestivum (bread wheat). RNAcentral's name for it is "partial small subunit ribosomal RNA". The record is from RNAcentral. Lineage: Eukaryota; Viridiplantae; Streptophyta; Magnoliopsida; Poales; Poaceae.
UGGAAUAGACAAGCCCGUGGUUGAGGGGAUAGAGGACACGUGGAGGCAGGUGAGGGGUGCUCCGGUGCUGGUGGUAGAAGAUGGGGCGGCGGCGUAUUGGAGGUGGAGGGUGGGGCCGUGGUGUGCUGGAGGAAGGGGUGCGGCGGAGCGGAGGAGGAGGAGGGCCGACCGCGGCGGGGCGGAGGAGGAGGAGGGCCGAUCGCGGCGGGGCGGAGGAGGAGGAGUACUGGCCACGGAUGGGCGGAGGAUGAGGAGGGCAGGCCGCCGCGGGACGGAGGAGGAGGAGGGUAGGCCUCGGCGGGACGGAGGACGAAGAGGGCAGGCCGUCACGGGACGGAGGAGGAGGAGGGCAGGCCUCGGCGGGGCAGAGGAUGAGGUGGGGAGACCGCGGCGGGGCGUAGAGGGGGCGCGCGGAGACUGCACGUUGCGGCGCGUCGUUGCCGGGGCCGGGGAGGGGCGAGGUCGGUGCCGGUGACGGGGCGGUAGGCACCACGAGGCUGCGGCGGGGUGGAGUAGGUCGAGUCAGCGAUGGGGACACGUCGAGCCAGCGCCGGGCGCAGAAGCACGUCCAAACACCCGGUGGUGAAAGGAGACGACCGGAGGGAGUAGCAGUCUGUGUUGCGGCGUUGGAGGUUGGAGCUCGCAGGAGAGGAGGGGUAACUAACCAAAAAACGAAAAAGUCUUAAGUGAACCCGUGUAACUACAUCAAGACAAACCCGUGGUCACGUCACACCUACCUACAGAUCAGUGAGCCGCUUUCAAGAACGUCGGCCACCGUGCUCCGAGCACCAGGCUACACAUCACGUCACGUCACAAUAAACGGGAGGCGUGACUUCAAGCGGCCGUCUACACAACUGGGGGCGCCGCGGUACGUUAGAUCAUGCACCCACGUGCGUCGUGCGGGAUGGCCGUGGCACGUCAGGUUUUCACAGCCACGUUCGUCGUGCGGUGGGUAAGGGUUCGGUUAGAGAGAAGGAGGGGUGUGUGCACGGUUUGCGAGAGAGUGUGUUGUUACCGCCUACUCUUCGAGCGGUUCGACGCGCUCCAGAGUCACACCGUCCCGCUGUCUACGUCACGCCGUCCCGCUGCCUACGUCACGCCGUUCCGCUGCCCACAUCACACCGUGAGUGCCGUCGUCGCUUGGGUGACUUGGAUAGCUCACCUACUCUUGCUACUUAGCGACGUCUUUUACCUUCCAGGGUAGGUAGUCAAGAACGUAGAAACACUACAAAAAGAUCACUAGAUCAGAUACAUUAUGAUCGUAGACUUCUUGAAAACUUCGUCUUCCUUGUUGGAGACUUUUACGUUCAAGCCUCGAGACUUAUACACAUCGUCAUGUUGUUGGGAGGAACCUACAGGCCCGAGUCGUACUUCGUCCAAUUGUACAUUUGUGCGUACCACAUCAGAACACGCUGUUGCGCAAGUUAAUUUGUCGUUUUUUGCUGUACGUCAACCGGCCGGGUACGUCAAACCACACGCUCGUUUUUGUAGUCGCACCUCAAAUCACAAAUUACGGUACCUCUACCCCUUUGUUGUUGUUUUUACACUUGAGGCGGAGGCGCUACGGAGCCGAGUGUGACGGUGACCUGGAUAAAAAUGGUAGUCUGAGUGGCCCGGUAGCGGCUGAGGGGUUCGUCAUGUGAAGGCAUGACAGUCGUGGCCGAUCUCGUUGCGAGGCUAAAAAAAGUAAGUGAAAAAAAAUGUAUGACUUCCUGUAGACACAAUUAACGUUUUCAACGGGUGAAACCGUCUUGUCGACCUUUUUUCUUUUGAUGUUACGUCACGUGAAGCUCCCUGAGGUGCCGGGUGAAGGGC